CCCUAUGGGGUGCGUUUGAGCCAGGUCUACCAGAGGGAGCGCAAACCCCUCAUCGCCUAUGUGCCUCACGAAUCCAAGUACGCCAUGCUCAUCGAGGGCUUUCAAUUGAACCGGGUACCGGUGGCUGCUUCCAUCGAAGGAGCGGUGCUUAUGGCCGAUGCCCUCCGGAGGUGCCGAUCAUGUUGACCGAUGCAAUGCAAGCAAUCAUUCAAAAUUCCCGGGACACGGGCUGGAUCAUGGAGCCGGAGGCCAAGCGACUCAUGAGCCUUUAUGGGAUCGAUAUUCCCUCUUACGCCUGGGUGCGCCGCCACGCUGAGGUGAAGCCUGCGGCGGAGCGUCUCGGUUUUCCCCUUGCCGCAAAGGUGGUCUCCCCGAAGAUCGUCCACAAGUCCGACGUGGCGGGGGAGC
Molecule: ribosomal RNA, 408 nt
Filed under: uncultured prokaryote
Description: partial 16S ribosomal RNA
Source: RNAcentral